Molecule: long non-coding RNA, 825 nt
Organism: Haliotis rubra (blacklip abalone)
Lineage: Eukaryota; Metazoa; Mollusca; Gastropoda; Lepetellida; Haliotidae
Exons: 3
Source: RefSeq, a predicted model, not a curated record
GAAUAUUUAGUGAAGAUAGAGCAGCUUCGAGUUUAUGUUUUUAUGUCACAUGUGUACAUAAUGUACCUGAAUAUUCUAUGAAGGUGGAGCAGAUUGUAGUUUGUGUGUUUUAUGUCACAUUUUGUACAUAAUGCACCUGAAUAUUCAGGGGAAGAAAUGGAAACUUGGACCUCAACUGGAAUUGUUAUGCGAAGCGGCUGACAUAGUGUUAGGCAACUGGUUAAAAGUAAUGCAUUGUUCUCAUUUUGACCUCCUAGUCAGUGUUGUUAUGAGAGUCGGUACUGAAUUGUAAAACAGUGUCAUGAAUUGUAUUACAGAUUAAGAGGGUUAAGAGUAGAAAAUGGGGUUUAUGAGCUUGUUACUAUAUUUGUUGCUUUCUCAGUCUUACUGGCACGAAUAAACUUACAACUUCUAAUAAAAGGCUGAACUUUAUCCUGCAGAAAGUGCUUACUCACCGUAUUGUCAUUGUAUAGAGUGGUCUUGCACUCACUGCAAUGUCAUUGUUUAUCGUAGUAUGUCACUCACUGUAAUGCCAUUGUAUAAAGUAGCAUGUCACCUACUGUAAUGUCAUUGUAUAGAGAAGCAUGUAAAUCACUGUAAUGUCAUUGUAUAAAGCAGAAUGUCACUCGCUCUUAGUAAUGUCAAUUGUAGCAGAGUAGUAUGUCACUUCACUGUAAUGUCGUUGUAUAAGGCAGAAUGUACUCACUCCACUGUAAUGUCGUUGUAUAAAGGAGGAUGUCACUCACUGUAAUGUCGUGAUUUCUCAGCAGUAAUGUGUAUUGACGACCUUGUUACCUGCAGAAUAAAAUUGCAAAACAUUGUAAA